Molecule: long non-coding RNA, 921 nt
Filed under: Bemisia tabaci
Lineage: Eukaryota; Metazoa; Arthropoda; Insecta; Hemiptera; Aleyrodidae
Description: lncRNA ENSASIAIIG004073
Source: RNAcentral
CCACCGUCUUACUCGCAGUAUGAAGGGUUUCAUUUUUUUUUACUGACAGGCUGUUGAAUAAUAGAUUUCGAAUCGAACGAAUGCUCGCCCAUUGUCGAUUGAGUAUGGUCAGCUCGUCCUGCGUGGCUCAUUUUUCGGCUAGGGAUCAUGUUAUUCACAUCCAUUUCUCAGGUCAAAUUCUGAAUCACCAUCAGUGUUGGUAUCCAGAACCGGACAAUUUUCUUAUUUUCUGUCGGCGGCUGAGGAUUAUAUUUGAAGCCUACCUGAACUAUGGUGCCGGACAGAUCUCGGUCGGUUUUUGGACCCAACUCCUUUUUCCCGCAAUUGAGGUUUUGUUGCUGCGGUUGCUCUCUGAGAACGGGAGUACUGAUCAUUGGCUGGUUCACUGUGAUUGUAGGUGCACUCAUGAUUCUUGGAUUUUGGCCUGUCGCUAAUCGUUUGAGGGGGAUGGACAUUUCAAAUAGCCCAGAGAAAAGGGUGGCCGUUUACUUAUGGGUGAUCGACUACUUUAUUGACGGCAUUCUUCUCAGAAUUGCCGGUAUCAUUCUGCUCAUUGGCGUCUAUGCGGAAAAACCGAAAUGUGUGCUUCUGUUCCUGAUAGCGAGCGCCGUCGAUGCUGUCAAGUUACUGAUUGAAAUUCCACUUUUCAUCUUCACCAACAUUGGUAGAAGCGUAUCAGUUGAAGUUUCAUCCGAUAAUGAGUUGUAUCCUUUAUUUGAGCAUCCGUUGGGGCUCUUCAUUACGCUCGUGCUGACUUUGUAUUUUCUGGCGGUGACUAACAGUUAUUACAGCGAAAUGGAAAAUUCUCCUCCGAAAAGAUGUGGAACAGGGUCGCUCCGGACAAUGUACGCAAUGCCUGAAAAAAAUGAUGAUGCAAACGUACUCAAAAGUCAAAAUGACACAUCUCGACAACUCAUUUGA